UACGUAGGGGCCGAGCGUUGUCCGGAGUUAUUGGGCGUAAAGCGCGCGCAGGCGGCCUCGCGCGCCCGACGUGAAAGCCCCCGGCUUAACCGGGGAGGGUCGUUGGGGACGGCGGGGCUUGAGGGCGGGAGAGGUCGGUGGAAUUCCCGGUGUAGUGGUGAAAUGCGUAGAGAUCGGGAGGAACACCUGUGGCGAAGGCGGCCUGCUGGGCAGUUUAGCUGACACUGAGGCGCGACAGCGUGGGGAGCAAACAGG
RNAcentral lists this ribosomal RNA (255 nucleotides) under uncultured bacterium. Its description in RNAcentral is "partial 16S ribosomal RNA". It matches the Rfam family "Bacterial small subunit ribosomal RNA", at positions 524 to 776 of the family's 1533-position model. The record is from RNAcentral.